UACGAAGGGGGCUAGCGUUGUUCGGAAUUACUGGGCGUAAAGCGCACGUAGGCGGGCGAUUAAGUCAGGGGUGAAAUCCCGGAGCUCAACUCCGGAACUGCCUUUGAUACUGGCAGGCUAGAGUGCGGUAGAGGAUGGCGGAAUUCCCGGUGUAGCAGUGAAAUGCGUAGAGAUCGGGAGGAACAUCUGUGGCGAAGGCGGCCAUCUGGACGGUAACUGACGCUGAGACGCGAAAGCGUGGGAGCAAACAGG
Molecule: ribosomal RNA, 252 nt
Filed under: uncultured bacterium
Lineage: Bacteria
Description: partial 16S ribosomal RNA
Rfam family: Bacterial small subunit ribosomal RNA
Source: RNAcentral